Dermacentor andersoni is the source of this 882-nucleotide long non-coding RNA. RefSeq lists it as uncharacterized. The record is from RefSeq and is a predicted model, not a curated record. NCBI's taxonomy places the organism in Eukaryota, Metazoa, Arthropoda, Arachnida, Ixodida, Ixodidae.
AGCUGCUACUGUUCUGUCUCAUCGUCUGUGCCUGCGCUCAAGAUCCGGUUGACCCUCCACAGCCGUACACUUUUGGCUUCGAGAAUGUGGACGAGUACGGCACGCAGCUCUACCACAAAGAGUCGGGUGAUGCCAGCAACGCCAAGAAAGGCUCGUACGGCUACAAGGACGCCGGAGGCCUGUUCAGACGCGUCGAAUACGUGGCUGACCUGAACGGCUACCGCGCCACCGUGGACACCAACGAACCGGGAACUGCACCCGGCCAAACGGGCGACGCCGUCUUCAACGCCAACCCGAUUGUCGUCCCCUUCGCGAAGUCGGCGUCCGCACCUGUGCCAGCAUUUGCGCCAAAGCCAGUCGGAGCCGGCGGAAUCCAGUUACCGUGGUCGAUCUGAGAACGCUGUGAACUUUGCUUAGAGAAAUAUCGUAUAGCAACAAAUUUCUUGCCAAAAGAGAGCGAUUACCUUUGGCUAGCGUAGUCCCGCCGGUGAAUGUGUUAGGGCGAACGGCUCAAGUGUUUAUGAGAAUGAAUUGUCGGGUUGAAGGCAUUUUAGUUGCAAGUCACAUGCUUAUGCGGCGCGCUUGCUCUUCGCUUAUGUCUAAGCUGCUUUGUCCAAGUGCAUUUGUCAAGUUCAAAUCCUUUCUAGUUCAGUAUGCUCCACUGCAGACGCUGCAUUAGCCUUUUGUUUGUUUGUAUUUUUUUAGAUAAAUCUGCUCUCUGUAUUCCAGAGGAAAGCUCUGCGUUGACUUGCUUGCAAAUCUGGUGUUUGGAUCUCGCGGCUCUUGCGGUGCCAUUUGCUUUGUUAAGACCGUGUGUGUUAUGUUGCUGUGCAGUUGUCCUUGUGAAUGUUAUCAUUAUGCAAAUAAACAGCAUAAAAUAUA